UACGGAGGGUGCGAGCGUUAUCCGGAAUUACUGGGUUUAAAGGGUGCGUAGGCGGCUUUGUAAGUCAGGAGUGAAAGUUUGCGGCUCAACCGUAAAAUUGCUUCUGAUACUGCAUGGCUAGAAUUAGGAUGAGGUCAGCGGAAUGUGGCAUGUAGCGGUGAAAUGCAUAGAUAUGCCAUAGAACACCAAUUGCGAAGGCGGCUGACUAGACCUGGAUUGACGCUGAGGCACGAAAGCGUGGGGAGCGAACAGG
RNAcentral lists this ribosomal RNA (253 nucleotides) under uncultured bacterium. RNAcentral's name for it is "partial 16S ribosomal RNA". It matches the Rfam family "Bacterial small subunit ribosomal RNA", at positions 524 to 776 of the family's 1533-position model. The record is from RNAcentral.